AAAGUCGUAACAAGGUUUCCGUAGGUGAACCUGCGGAAGGAUCAUUAACGAAUUAUGGAGAGUUGAUGCUGGUGUUAAUUCACAUGUGCUCGCUCUCUUAAUCCAUAUACACCUGUGCACCUUUUGAUUUCGAAGGCUUUAUUGGAGACGCAAGUCGAAGAUAGCCUUUGGAACCUUAACACAUACCCUUCUUGUAAUCAUGAAUGUUUUAUUUGUCGAAAGACAGAAUUAAAUACAACUUUUAACAACGGAUCUCUUGGCUCUC
Molecule: unclassified non-coding RNA, 265 nt
Filed under: Basidiomycota sp.
Lineage: Eukaryota; Fungi; Basidiomycota
Description: partial contains small subunit ribosomal RNA, internal transcribed spacer 1, and 5.8S ribosomal RNA
Rfam family: Eukaryotic small subunit ribosomal RNA (bases 1-47)
Source: RNAcentral